AUGAUAUUGUAUUCUGCGGACGAUAGGUGGCACAAUCUGCGCCAUCUCUUAUUUGUGAAGUAUGUAUGGAACAACUGCACUGACACUUCUGUCAGAAGGUUCACCAUGAAGAAAAUUCAGGUGCUUUACUGCAAUAUAUGCAAGAGAAUUUUCCGUUCUUCCCGUGAGAUCAUCAUUGCCUUCAUCCAGUUUCUAUGUUCCUUCAGUUGGGAAGGAGGAACAAUGCGCUUACUGUGGCCUGCUUCUUCCUAUGUGGCAAACCAGGCAUCCCUCCCAUUCCACGCUAAGCUCCAUGAAUAG
Molecule: ribosomal RNA, 300 nt
Filed under: Triticum aestivum (bread wheat)
Lineage: Eukaryota; Viridiplantae; Streptophyta; Magnoliopsida; Poales; Poaceae
Description: partial small subunit ribosomal RNA
Source: RNAcentral